RNAcentral lists this long non-coding RNA (829 nucleotides) under Pan troglodytes (chimpanzee). Its description in RNAcentral is "long non-coding RNA NONPTRT000613". The record is from RNAcentral. Lineage: Eukaryota; Metazoa; Chordata; Mammalia; Primates; Hominidae.
CCCUGGAUCAGACCCAGACAGGGAGGGGCUGCUGAUGCUGGUAGAGACAGAGCUGAGGCCACAGAUGUGUCGCUGGUUGUGGAAGCGGAGCUCGGUCAGCGUGUUGUUCUGGAGGAGGGCCCGGAAGAUGGCCAGGAUGCCUUUGCCUGUGAUGUGGUUGGAGUCCAGGUUGAGGCUGGUGAUGGUCUUGUUGGCCUUGAGCAUGAUGGCAAUGGCAAAGGCCACAUGGUCAUCGGCUCGCGUGUUGGCCAAGGCGAACACCUUAACCACAGUGUUGAACUCCAGAGCCUCAGUAAACCGGACCAAGAUCUCAUUUGUGAUGCAGUCUGAGUUGUUGACAUUCACCUCAGUCAUCUCGGGGUCGUUGUUCUUCACUCUCUCCAGAGGCUCAUCAAAUAUGCUGGGAGCUGCCUCCUCCUCUACCUUGGCCGGACCUUCAGAGGGCUUGGUGGGGCCACUGGGCAUCUGUUUCUCGGGUGUUUUGGUCUUGCUGUCAUCCUUGGCUUCCUUUUCAUGUAAGAGUUCAUUCUUCUUGACUUUUUCAUCCUCCUUUUUGGUGUCUGUGUUCCCAGUUCCUCUUUUUACCUUCUCAUCCUCCUUUUUCAUGUCUGUGUUCCCACCUGCUCUUUUCAUCUUCUCACCCUCUUUUCUGGUGUCUGUGUUCCUACGCUCCCCUUUUACCUUCUCAUCAUCCUCUUUCUUGGCCACCUCCUUCAUCUCCUCCCUCUUUUUAUCCUUGUCCCUGCUCAAGCCUGUGUUCCUGUCACUCCCUUUCUUCUCCUCUUCCUUCUUGGUGGCCACUGCCCUCUCCUCUCCUCUCCCAUCCUUC